UGGGGAAUUUUGCGCAAUGGGGGAAACCCUGACGCAGCAACGCCGCGCGAGUGAUGAAGGCCUUCGGGUCGUAAAGCUCUGUCAGAGGGGAAGAAAUGCAGGGGUGCUAAUAUCAUCUUUGCUUGACGGUACCCUCAAAGGAAGCACCGGCUAAUUCCGUGCCAGCAGCCGCGGUAAUACGGAGGGUGCGAGCGUUGUUCGGGAUUAUUGGGCGUAAAGCGCGUGUAGGCGGUUUGGUAAGUCUGAUGUGAAAGCCCCGGGCUCAACCUGGGAAGUGCAUUGUAAACUGUCAGGCUUGAAUACGGUGGAGGGUAGUGGAAUUCCUAGUGUAGGAGUGAAAUCCGUAGAUAUUAGGAGGAACACCGGUGGCGAAGGCAGCUACCUGGACCGAUAUUGACACUGAGACGCGAAAGCGUGGG
Molecule: ribosomal RNA, 419 nt
Filed under: uncultured bacterium
Lineage: Bacteria
Description: bacterial SSU rRNA
Rfam family: Bacterial small subunit ribosomal RNA
Source: RNAcentral